RNAcentral lists this long non-coding RNA (417 nucleotides) under Olea europaea subsp. europaea. Lineage: Eukaryota; Viridiplantae; Streptophyta; Magnoliopsida; Lamiales; Oleaceae. The record is from RNAcentral.
CGUUACCUCCUGUCAUGGCUAAUAACUAUUUACUAGCCAAUGAGUUCAAGAACAAAGAGAAAGAAGAAGAAGAGAGGGAGGAUAACGAGGAAGAAGCAUGUGUGCUGGAAUGUGAAGAAGGCCAAACUUCUAGAGGGGCCUACAAUGGUGAAGAGGAUGAUGGUAUGACGGACAUCGAAGAGGAAAUUGAUCUGGAAGCAGAAAGAAGAAAGAGAGGAGUAUCGCACAAUACUCUGUUGAAGCAACUACAUCGAGAGGGAGUUCGUGAAGUGGACUUGUUGGGGGAACCAUCUGGGCGUUCUUUCGAUUAUUACGUGCUGUACGGGACGCCCAAGAGGAAAAAGAGAGUACCUCGCUCUGAAAGGUAUGGAUCACCUCCAAGAAUAAUGCCUCCUCCCACAGGUUGGGUAACCGAAG